CGAGUGGCUGCGGCGCGUGGCGGGCUCAGGGGAAAAGGAAGCGAUGUCGCUGGCGGCCGAAGCCAGCCCGGGCGCCCCUGGCCCGGGCAGGAGUAGCGCGCUCUUCUCGGGUUUCCGCGCGCUCGGGCUCUACUCCAAUCACUUGGCGCACGUGCUGCGCUACCACCGCCGUCACCGGGAGUUCUACCUGGUCACCGCCGCAGGGAGGAGCUUCCACACUUACAACGUGAAGAAGCUAGGCAUAGUUGCUGUUAGCAAUGCUUUGCCACAGGAUAUUACAUGUUUGGCAGCUGACAAAAUGUUGGUUUUUGCAUCAUGUGGUAGUCUUCUCAAUGCUUUUGCUCAUAACAAAGAGGUGGUUCACACUUAUAAAGGUCACAGGGCAGAUAUUCAUCUUGUGCUGCCAUUUGGGGAACAUGUGAUCUCUGUGGAUAAUGAUAAUAUUCUUAUUAUUUGGGAUAUACAGUCAGAAGAAGAAUAUUUGCAGCUAAACUUUGAUACAUCUGUGUUUGCUGUUUCUGCAAUUAUGCAUCCAAGUACCUAUUUGAAUAAAAUUCUUCUUGGUAGUGAACAAGGAACUCUACAGUUAUGGAACAUAAAAUCCAACAAACUUUUAUAUACAUUUCCAGGAUGGGGUGCAGGAGUGACGGUACUUCAACAGGCGCCAGCAGUAGAUGUAGUUGCAGUAGGCCUUGUGUCUGGUCAUAUCAUAGUGCACAAUAUUAAGUUUGAUGAAAUACUAAUGAAAUUUCAACAAGACUGGGGUCCCAUAACAACAAUAUCAUUCCGAACAGAUGGACAUCCAGUUAUGGCUGCUGGAAGUCCUAUUGGGCAUAUUGGCUUGUGGGAUCUAGAAGAAAAGAAACUUUUGGGCCAGAUGAGAGAUGCACAUUCCACAGCAAUUUCAGGCAUGUCAUUUGUUCAAGGAGAGCCACUUCUCAUUACGAAUGGUUCGGAUAAUGCUAUCAGAGUAUGGAUCUUUGAUGGCCCUGGUGGAAAUGGUAGAUUGCUGAGGUACCGGAUGGGACAUAGUGCACCUCCAACAAAAAUCAGAUAUCAUGGGCAAAACGGGCAGCAGAUUCUUAGUGCCAGUCAAGAUGGUACCUUGCAAACAUUUUCCACAGUACAUGAAAGAUUCAAUAAAAGCUUAGGACGUGGUUCCAUCAAUAAAAAGAAAUCAAAAAAGAAAGGCCUUCAGUAUGAUACAAUGGCACUUCCACCCAUUACAACAUUUGCAGCAGAGGUAGCCCGUCAAAGUGACUGGGAUGGAAUCAUUGCUUGCCAUCAAGGUUAUGUAACCUGUACUACCUGGAAUUAUCAGAAAUCCUCAAUGGGAAUCCAUAAACUGAAACCAGAAGACUUCAGCAAAAAUAAACCGCUUGGCGUAUAUGCCACGGCUGUAGAUAUCACUUCCUGUGGAAACUUUGCUGUAAUUGGACUUACAACUGGACAUGUCGAUGUAUACAACAUGCAGUCUGGUAUUCACAGAGGACGUUUUGGCAAAGAAAAUGCUCAUGAAGGGUCCAUAAGAGGAGUGGCAGUUGAUGGACUAAACCAGCUUACAAUCACAGCGGGAAGUGAAGGAUUGAUCAAAUUCUGGAAAUUCAAGACCAAAAAACUUAUUCAUUCUACUGAGCUCUCUACUUCUCCAAGUAAAAUGUUGCUUCACAGAGACAGUGGCAUUCUGGGCAUUGCAAUGGAUGACUUUGGCAUUAUUGUUCUGGAUAUAGAAACAAGAAAAAUUGUGAGGAACUUUUCAGGGCACCAAGGCCAGAUAAAUGACAUGACUUUCAGCCCUGAUGGCCGUUGGCUAAUAACUGCAUCUAUGGACUGUACCAUUAGGACUUGGGAUCUACCAUCUGGAUGCCUUGUUGAUUGUUUUCUGUUAGAUUCAGCAGCAGUAAGCAUUACUAUGUCUCCAACUGGGGAUUUCCUAGCCACUUCCCAUGUGGAUGAUCUUGGAAUUUACCUAUGGUCUAGCCAUUCCUUUUAUUCACUUGUCUCUCUGCGCCCACUUCCAGCAGAUUAUGAACCUUCUGUAGUAAUGCUUCCUGGAACCUGUCCAACUCAAGACAUAGAUGUUGCAGAAGAGGAAGAAACAAGUGAUGAGAUGAUAGAAUAUGAUUCCCCAGAGCAACUGGGAGAAGCAUUAGUGACCCUUUCUGUAUUGCCAGAAUCUAGAUGGAAGAGCCUACUCAACCUUGAUAUUAUUAAGCAAAAGAAUAAACCCAAAGAGCCACCAAAAGUGCCAAAAUCUGCACCAUUCUUCAUCCCCACAGUUCCUGGUCUUGUCCCACGAUAUGCUUCUGUUGAACAUGAAAAAGAUGGACACCAGUCCAAACUAGUACAUCUUGGCAUGUUGGCACAAAAAUCUGAAUUCUACUUACAGCUUGAAGAAGCGCUGGGAAACAGCAACUAUAAGCCUGCAGUUGGGAUUCUGAAGAAUAUGGGACCAUCUAAUAUUGAGACAGAACUGAGAGGCUUGUCACCAGAUGGAGGUGGCUCUGUUGAGGUGAUGCAGAGCUUCCUAAGAAUGAUUGAGGCAAUGCUGAAUACGAAGUGUGACUUCGAACUGGCUCAAGCGUACCUUGCAUUGUUCCUAAAGUUGCACUUUAAAAUCCUUUCCUCAGAGCCAUCUUUGCUGGCAGAAGUAUCCAGGCUGUCACCCCAACUUGAGGAAAUCUGGAUUCAUUUACAGACGCUUUUCAACCAAAGCCUUUGCAUUUUAAAUUACAUGAAGACAGCUUUGUUAUAAAGAACCUUUUGUUCUGUAAAAAUCAAGAUGUUAAAUCUCCAGUUACUUGUAUAAAGCACAUCUAAUGCUUCUUCUGACCUGACUUCACAUGGCCACCUCAGUCCAUAGUGGCUCAUAUAACUGGGUUGGCUUGCACAAUUGUUCUAGCCCACAAGUGGCCUAAUUUUCACAAUCAAAACAAACU
Molecule: RNA transcript, 2939 nt
Organism: Varanus komodoensis (Komodo dragon)
Lineage: Eukaryota; Metazoa; Chordata; Lepidosauria; Squamata; Varanidae
Gene: WDR36
Gene name: WD repeat domain 36
Exons: 24
Source: RefSeq, a predicted model, not a curated record